GGCGAAGUAGUUUAGUUGGUAGAACUUUGGAAUCAUAAUCCAAGUGUCGUGAGUUCAAUUCUCACCUUCGCCU
RNAcentral lists this transfer RNA (73 nucleotides) under Vermamoeba vermiformis. RNAcentral's name for it is "tRNA-Met". It matches the Rfam family "tRNA". Rfam says of the family: Transfer RNA (tRNA) molecules are approximately 80 nucleotides in length. Their secondary structure includes four short double-helical elements and three loops (D, anti-codon, and T loops). Lineage: Eukaryota; Tubulinea; Echinamoebida; Vermamoebidae. The record is from RNAcentral. RNAcentral also lists the same sequence under 2 other names.